Molecule: transfer RNA, 82 nt
Rfam family: tRNA
About the family: Transfer RNA (tRNA) molecules are approximately 80 nucleotides in length. Their secondary structure includes four short double-helical elements and three loops (D, anti-codon, and T loops). Further hydrogen bonds mediate the characteristic L-shaped molecular structure. tRNAs have two regions of fundamental functional importance: the anti-codon, which is responsible for specific mRNA codon recognition, and the 3' end, to which the tRNAs corresponding amino acid is attached (by aminoacyl-tRNA synthetases). tRNAs cope with the degeneracy of the genetic code in two manners: having more than one tRNA (with a specific anti-codon) for a particular amino acid; and 'wobble' base-pairing, i.e. permitting non-standard base-pairing at the 3rd anti-codon position.
Source: Rfam
GACAGUGUGUCCGAGCGGCUAAGGAGAUGGACUAGAAAUCCAUUGGGCUCUGCCCGCAGGGGCUCGAAUCCCCUCGCUGUCG